ACGUAUUCUGAAAGGGAUACUUUCUUCGGACAAAUAUACAAGGUGCUGCAUGGUUGUCGUCAGCUCGUGCCGUGAGGUGUCGGGUUAAGUCCCAUAACGAGCGCAACCCCUAUCAUUAGUUGCCAUCAGGUCAAGCUGGGGACUCUAAUGAAACUGCCUACGCAAGUAGUGAGGAAGGUGGGGAUGACGUCAAAUCAGCACGGCCCUUACGUCCAGGGCUACACACGUGCUACAAUGGCCGAUACAGAGGGCAGCUACCUGGUGACAGGAUGCAAAUCUCCAAAGUCGGUCUCAGUUCGGAUCGGAGUCUGCAACCCGACUCCGUGAAGUUGGAUUCGCUAGUAAUCGCGCAUCAGCCAUGGCGCGGUGAAUACGUUCCCGGGCCUU
RNAcentral lists this ribosomal RNA (387 nucleotides) under uncultured Sphingobacteriales bacterium. RNAcentral describes it as "bacterial SSU rRNA". It matches the Rfam family "Bacterial small subunit ribosomal RNA", at positions 994 to 1382 of the family's 1533-position model. The record is from RNAcentral. Lineage: Bacteria; Pseudomonadati; Bacteroidota; Sphingobacteriia; Sphingobacteriales.